UGGGGGUGAGAAAGAGUGGCUCGCGAGCGGCAGUGGAGGAACCCGGUGGGAGACCGGGACGGUCCCGCCACUGUGACCGGGGGUUCACGCCCCUGGAAGUCAGGAGACUCCGGCCGCUCGCACCUUCUGCA
Molecule: non-coding RNA, 131 nt
Filed under: Actinoplanes friuliensis
Lineage: Bacteria; Bacillati; Actinomycetota; Actinomycetes; Micromonosporales; Micromonosporaceae
Also listed under: 1 other name
Source: RNAcentral